Molecule: long non-coding RNA, 3235 nt
Organism: Salvia miltiorrhiza (redroot sage)
Lineage: Eukaryota; Viridiplantae; Streptophyta; Magnoliopsida; Lamiales; Lamiaceae
Exons: 3
Source: RefSeq, a predicted model, not a curated record
UUUACUUGAAAAUAUGUCAAAUGGAAUAUUAGUACGUAGUAGCGCCCCCUGUAAAAAAAAGUUCACGGAUGUGGCCACUAACAAUGAACGGUUAAUUCCUAAAAAAAAUAAAAAUAAUAAUAAUGAACGGUUAACAAAUACUACCUCCAUCCACAAUUUAAAGCCCUACUUACCCUUAAAUUUUUGUGCGUAAAUUAAAGCCUUAUUAUGUUUUUUGUACUUUUUUACUCUCCUUCUUUCCUAUAUUUACUAUCAUUUACCACUAAUGGACCCACCUUAAAACACAUUUAUUACUUUUAUAUAAUAUAUUUACUACACUUUAUCACUAGUAGACCCACUCACAACACCUUUAUUACUUUAGUCAACUACCCUUAUAUUUCAUUCACAUCACAUUUUUCAGCUUUCUUAGUCUCCGUGCUCAUAUUAAAGUGGGACUUUAAAUUGUAGACGAAAUGAGUAUAUUUUUCAUAAAUUAUGACUAUAAUUUCUUCAUAAUUUACAAAACUACCAUUCAAAUCAAUUUGAAAUCAAUUUCAAAUUGAGAACUCCCUUUUAAUAGAGUAUAAAUAUAUAUAGUUACUUUAACUAAAUUACACAUUUAAUACUUUUGAUUAUGCAAUUUUCGAAUCUGCAUGGAAGUAUGCAUAAAGGAAAUUACUAUAUAUACAAACAUAAUUAUUAUUUUAACCAAAAUUGAUGAUCGAAUAAUGUAUAUAUACAUAUAUUUGAAAAGUUGUCUUACCUGUAGGCUGUAGCCUACCCCUCCCACCGUCCCACGUGUCACAUGGAUAUGGGGAAAUGAUGUGCUGAGUAAUUAAGCCUACACAUUAGACUUUUGAUUCAUGUACUACACACUUUUUUCCUCUAUAUAUAUGUCAUGUUAGCUUUUAUAUUUUCUCAUCCUCGAUCAUAAAACUUUAUCUCUAUAUAUAUAUAUACUUAUCUAUUUAAGUUUAUUUUAUCUUUAUAAAUUAUUAUCUUAUUUUAUUCAAUUAAGAAAUGUGCGAGAUGCUGAAUUGAUUUGAAUUAGUCAGAUAAAUUUUAAGCUUAAGUACAAGGUAUGAGAUUUAUUUAAAUACAUGUCAUAAUUAAUUAUUGUUCAUUUUAAUAUUAUGUGUUUAUUAUAUGUGAGUUAAAUUAUAUCGCUAGGGGCCAACAUAAUUGGUCCAAUAUGUCAAAGUCAUUGGUAUGCCACAAUACAAUUUACAUGUUAAAGUUAUGGUUGCAACCAGUCGCCAAGAGCCAACAUAAUUGGUUCAGGACGGAAAGAUCUUUGGUAUGUCACUGUGCGACUUUCAGUUAUGAAUGUUACAGCAAAUGAUAUGCGUUACCAUUUUAUUAACGUGGUCAAUGAUUGCAUGUUCCCACAUUGAGUAUACAGUGUGUGCUCAUCCCAUAUUUAACAUUUUCAGAUUUCUAAGGUUGGAGACGCGUGGAAGGUCGAAUGGAAAAUCAAAUAUUUUGAAUUUAGUUUUCCCUAAAGAUGUUAUUUUGAGUAAAGUAUUUUAAAUAAAGAUUUAUUUCAUGAUUUUCUCAUUAAAUAUUUAUUUAUAUACAUGAUUUUUCGCAUGAAUUUUCAUUAAAAUUUUAGUAAGAUUUGGGUGUCUGAUCGCUAAUUUAUUAGCAACAAAAUCGCAACUAUAACGGUGUAAUUGUAGCAACAAAUAGCAAGUAGAGUAUCAUAUCCAUGAGGACUGAUAAACGAAAUUACUCUAAAUAAUCCUAAAGAGAACUCUAACAAUAUUCAGGCAACUCUCAAGAUCAAUAAAUUAAUUAAAACUAAACUUUAGAACAAAGCAAAUAAAAUGCAGGUAUAAAACCAGAUAAUAAAACGAUUGAUCCUAGGGAAGUAAAUUCAUUAAUUAAAUCCACAUAAUCAACCUACUAAUCAUAAUUACUAGUUUAAUCCAUGUGACAGCCCGAAAUCAAAUUAUUUAUCUAAAAUUAUUUAUUUUAAAUUGUUUUAGAUUUCAAUUAUUUCGAAGCAUUUAAAUUGUGAAGCUAUUAAAAAUUUUAUUUUAUGUUAAGCUCACGAAAUGUCUAGUCGCGCCAUUAGUUAAAUAAAUAAAUUUGAGGAUCAUAUCUUUAGAAAUAAAAAUUUAUAUUUUCAAAUAUCUAAUUCAAUUUUAGAUCAUAAAUAAAUAUUUAUAUAAAUUUGUAUAUUGGGCCUUACAUGUAAUUUGACGAUGAAUAAAUGUUUUCUUUAUAAUUUUGUAUGUUAGACUUUGAAUAAAAUAUUUGCAUAGUUUAUAUUUUGGGCCUCAUAAAAAGAAAAUUUGAAUGUCCAACCUGAUUCUAUCUGAUCAGCAUCAACCCAUAUGAUAUUUAUAAUUUUAAUUCUGAUAUUGAAGAAAAGAGUUUAAGUGUUAUAUUCUACUCCAGCCACCUAUUCCCAAUUCAGCCACGUAUCAUCAAAUCAUUCAAUAUAUUUAAUUCUCUCCCCAGCAUUUAUCAAUUGAUCAGCAAAUUUCUCGUUUCAUUCGGUUCAAUUUCCUCUACAGAACUGCAAUCGGUGCGGCGCGACUAAGACGUGAUGGUGAUUUAAAUUGCUCAAGUUAGCAUUCAAGUUGAAGUUGAGGUUUAAAUUCAGGUGUGGGAAUUUAUUUAAAUACAUGCUGUAGUUAAUUGUUGUCCAUUUUAAUAUUAUGUGUUUACCAUAUGUGUUAUGAAUUACACUAAUCGCUAGGGGCACGUAAAUAGGGUCCAUGACGUCACAGUCAUUGGAUUGCCACAAUGCGAUUUGAGGUUAUGUAUCGCUAGGGGCCCGUAAAUAGGGUCCAGGACGGAAAGGUCUUUGGAUUGUCACGAUGCGAUUACAUGUUACAGGGUUGCAACCAUUAUAUUGAGGAUGUCGCCAGGGGCCCGUAAAUAGGGUCCGGGACUUUAAAGUCCUUGGAUUGCCACAGUGCGCAUAUUGAGGAUAUGUAUGAAAUGGCCGUUUUAACGGUCGGAGGCACGUGGAGGGUCGAAUGGGCGCGUCGAAUCCUUUUGAAUCAAAAGAAAUUAUCUUCUUUUGAACUUGUACAAUAUCAAAUACUUUUGUUUAGCAAUAGUUUUGGAUAUUCAAAUUGUCUUCCAGACCACGUUUGACUUAGUAUACGUUAUAAUAUCGUUAUGUUGUGUCUAUGUCAUGGUUUGGUAGUCAUAAAUUCAAGUUUUGGUUUGGAGUAUUUUAUUUAAUAGUUUAUCUUUUUCGAAAAUGAUUUUGAAAUGAUCGAAAUUUCUUACUUUUGAA